UCGUUUACACUGGCUGCUCGUUAGCAUCGACGGUUUAAUUUAUGCUGACUGGAUGGAAAACGCACACUCUGGGGGGGAAAGUGUUAUAAAUGAGCUAAACGAGGCCAUCGUAUAGACCAGAAUUCUUUCAAGGCUUGGACGUCACGACGGAGACAUCCUGUACCGAGUAAAUAGAAAGAUGGCUGAGUGGUGACCAUUAGCAAGGAAUAGCAGUGCUCGACGUAGUUUUAAACAAAUCGCAGUAGACAACGUGACCAGUAUUCAAAUGAAGCCCACGAACGUUAGGUACGACGAUUGACGCUCGUACAAGGUUAUGGUCGAGCAUUUUUGGAAGAUCGUUGACCUAACUAAUCUUGGAGUACUUUUCUUUUCAUGAAAAAAGUGACUCGGUAGCACGGAGUGUUCAUGAUAAUUAGUAAAAGCUGUUUAUCUUCUCUGUGAUUUCUAUUUGCCAGCAAUUGAAGAAAAAUCUCGUUACACUUUCUAAACCAUUCGACGUUUCGCUACGGAUGGUACCCUGACCGAUUAGCCUUGCUCCUUGAUUAUUUAUCUUGGCAGCAUUCAGCGAUUACCUAACGUGUCUGAAUAAAUCGUAUCCUGAUUGAGUAGUUUAUAAAAAUAUUAGAACGUGGUAAAUGUAUUCCACAUUCUUUCUUUCGCUUAUUUAUUUGCAACAAGCUCGACUUCCUAGUAAUUUUGUUUUAUUGUAGGAGCAUUAAUAAUUCAUUGCUACGGCUGGCAUUGUAUUAGGCGCGGCUAGAAGACGU
This is a long non-coding RNA of Hylaeus anthracinus, 767 nucleotides long. RefSeq lists it as uncharacterized. The record is from RefSeq and is a predicted model, not a curated record. Lineage: Eukaryota; Metazoa; Arthropoda; Insecta; Hymenoptera; Colletidae. The transcript is spliced from 4 exons.